RNAcentral lists this ribosomal RNA (212 nucleotides) under uncultured bacterium. RNAcentral's name for it is "partial 16S ribosomal RNA". It matches the Rfam family "Bacterial small subunit ribosomal RNA", at positions 137 to 334 of the family's 1533-position model. The record is from RNAcentral.
AAGGGGAUAACAGCUGGAAACGGCUGCUAAUACCAUAUAAUGUUGUGCACCGGCUGGGUGUGCAACCAAAGGCGGUUGAGGCUUGCAAGCCGUCGCCUGGAGAUGAACCCACGUUCCAUUAGCUUGUUGGUGAGGUAACGGCUCACCAAGGCUGCGAUGGAUAGCCGGCCUGAGAGGGUGAUCGGCCACACUGGGACUGAGAUACGGCCCAG